GUUGUUGCAAAACUUCAAAGAUGGCGUCGUUUGUUGGAUUUUCUUAAAGGAAGGGAGGAUAUUUUCACCCGAUGAUGCAGGUUAAAGGGCGAAAAUAAGUGCAUCUUUCAUUGCAGUAUAUGUAAUGAGGAAUUUUACAUCAGGGGAGGAUUGAGAUACCAUGCCCCAUUCAUGGACCACAUGAGUUUAAAUAUAGAAUAUGCAAGAAAGAAUCCUUCAACAGAGCCGGACUAAAACAGCAAAUAAAAAAAACACGAACCAAACAAAACAUGUACAGCUGAUGUUUGUAGUGAUUUUGUUUUAUUUAUAAAGUCUACAUAGACACGUCUGACAUAUAAUUGCUAUGAGUGCUACUUACUUACACGUUUUGUUCCGUAUAUGUCAUGAUGCUAGUUUCUCACUUUGUUAUGAAAAUAAACCAUUAUCUGUGUUACGUCAUUUCUUCCUACGAUGUCUCUGCAUAAAUUUUCAAUUGUA
Molecule: long non-coding RNA, 477 nt
Organism: Dreissena polymorpha
Lineage: Eukaryota; Metazoa; Mollusca; Bivalvia; Myida; Dreissenidae
Exons: 2
Source: RefSeq, a predicted model, not a curated record